Pezoporus flaviventris is the source of this 1487-nucleotide long non-coding RNA. RefSeq lists it as uncharacterized. The transcript has 2 exons. Lineage: Eukaryota; Metazoa; Chordata; Aves; Psittaciformes; Psittacidae. The record is from RefSeq and is a predicted model, not a curated record.
AUCUGUUUAAAGUAACAAGAAAGGAGGCAAGUUUGACCCCAACAAACUCUGAGGAUAUCCCUGAGGUUGUUACAUCAGCAUCAUUUGAGCAAGUAAUUGUAUUUUUAGUGACUAACGGUAAUAAAUGUUUUCCUCAUCUCAAUUUAUUUCAUAAUUAAAAUCUUCAGUUUACUUAUACUAUGUAGAUUUAAAUGGCUUUUGACACAACCUGUUUGAUGUUCCAGUGUGAUCUAACCCAAUACCUGGUGCUGCUCUCACAGAUCUGCUUUGUCUAUAGGCAUUCAUCACAAAUAAUAUUACCAGCUGCUUAUUGCUGCAUAGAUGGGAAGAUCAAAGUGCCACAUGACUUUAACAGGUUAAUCAUAAUUGCUGACAAUCAUCGGAGGACAAUGGACGUCAGCCCCUAGUUGUUAUUAGGUGCAUGAAAAGAAAGUAAGAGGGUGGAACUGUAACACAUUCAACAGUUUCUGCAAGGCAGAGCCUACCACAUGCAGAUGAGAACAAGUCUGGGCAGGAGGUGUGAUGUGUGCAUGUGAAAAUUAAACCUGGAUGUGGAAAAACCCAAGCCAGCACCAGAUGAUGCGUUCAAAGGACAUGGUUUGUUUCAUAUAGAACAUGUGCUGCAGGCAGUGUAUUGCAUUACAUACUACACAACAGCAACAAUACUUGAAAUGCCUCCUUUUUCUCCUUUAUUGUUUGGGGUUUUGGUAUCUCAUUACCUUUUUACCUACUCAUUUUUCACCUUUUCUUACAAUCCUCCUGUAUAUUUCUAAACUAACCAAGUUUGUCAUUCAAUCUGUAAUCUCUUUAGUAUCUUUUAUUUUCAGUAAUUUCUUCUCUAUUUCAACUCCACUCAUCUUCCACCAUUUAAUCCUUCUUGCUCUCCACUGCUUUAGCCUGUUCCCAGCACAGUCCCCACCUCUGCUCUAGGCAGUCUUCUUUUUCUAGGUCAUUAUCCUCAGCUUUGGUCAUAAGCAAGUAUGAGAAGCAUCCCUUUAUUAUAUGAUGUACAAGAACCUGUACUUCAGAAACACAAUUACAUCUUUAAAAUUAGCUUGAGUCACACCCCAUGAAUUUAGAUUGUUCUCAUCUCAGCUGGAGAUCUGAGAAUGGCAGCAUGCAGCACUGCACUGUUAGGCCAGCUAACACACUGUAUUGCCCUUCUACUAAAAUACAGUCUGUAAUGAAAUCAAUUCUGUAAUUGUGGUAUUCAGAUUUAAAUAGUUCUUUUUCAAAACAUAAAAUGAUCUCCUUUUUCCUGUAUGCUGCCGUGCUUCUGCCCCUGCAGCACAGUAAUUACUCUGCUUAAGCCUACUGCCAGUGGCAUAAUUUAUUUCAAUUGGCUGCUCAGUCUGGUAUCUGCCACAGAUACCAGGAAAUGGUGUUAAAAAACGUACUUUCCUCAAAUAUAUUAAAACCAAAGCGCAGAAGUAGGACUUAGAAUCUCCCUGUGUAUGUUUCCUCUCUUACAAAUCUUAUUCAGCCAU